GAUGAACGCUGGCGGCGUGCCUAAUACAUGCAAGUCGAGCGAACAGACGAGGAGCUUGCUCCUCUGACGUUAGCGGCGGACGGGUGAGUAACACGUGGAUAACCUACCUAUAAGACUGGGAUAACUUCGGGAAACCGGCGAUAAUACCGGAUAAUAUAUUGAACCGCAUGGUUCAAUAGUGAAAGACGGCUUUUCUGUCACUUAUAGAUGGAUCCGCGCCGCAUUAGCUAGUUGGUAAGGUAACGGCUUACCAAGGCAACGAUGCGUAGCCGACCUGAGAGAGUGAUCGGCGACACUGGAACUGGGACACGGUCCAGACUCCUACGGGAGGCAGCAGUAGGGAAUCUGCCGCAAUGGGCGAAAGCCUGACGGAGCAACGCCGCGUGAGUGAUGAAGGUCCUCGGAUCGUAAAACUGGCUUAUUAGGGAAGAACAAAUGUGUAAGUAACUAUGCACGUCUUGACGGUACCUAAUCAGAAAGCCACGGCUAACUACGUG
This 497-nucleotide ribosomal RNA is filed under the name uncultured bacterium. RNAcentral's name for it is "partial 16S ribosomal RNA". It matches the Rfam family "Bacterial small subunit ribosomal RNA", at positions 28 to 507 of the family's 1533-position model. The record is from RNAcentral.